GGAGGGGUGGCCGAGCGGUUAAUGGCAGCAGUCUGUAAAACUGCCCUCUUAAGAGUUCGUAGGUUCGAAUCCUACUCCCUCCACCA
Molecule: transfer RNA, 86 nt
Filed under: Mesorhizobium sp.
Lineage: Bacteria; Pseudomonadati; Pseudomonadota; Alphaproteobacteria; Hyphomicrobiales; Phyllobacteriaceae
Also listed under: 4 other names
Description: tRNA-Tyr
Rfam family: tRNA
About the family: Transfer RNA (tRNA) molecules are approximately 80 nucleotides in length. Their secondary structure includes four short double-helical elements and three loops (D, anti-codon, and T loops).
Source: RNAcentral